RNAcentral lists this ribosomal RNA (205 nucleotides) under uncultured bacterium. RNAcentral's name for it is "partial 16S ribosomal RNA". It matches the Rfam family "Bacterial small subunit ribosomal RNA", at positions 570 to 774 of the family's 1533-position model. The record is from RNAcentral.
CGCAGGCGGGUCACUAAGUCAGAGGUGAAAUCCUACAGCUUAACUGUAGAACUGCCUUUGAUACUGUUGAUCUUGAGUAUGGAAGAGAGAGACGGAAUUCCAGGUGUAGUGGUGAAAUACGUAGAUAUCUGGAAGAACACCAGUUGCGAAGGCGGUCUCUUGGUCCAAUACUGACGCUGAGGCGCGAAAGCGUGGGUAGCAAACA